GGCAGCAGCUGCUGUAAAAAGGAGUUCCAGCUAUUUCACCAGGUGAAUGCAGGCUAUCCUGCAAUUAAUCAAUUAUAUGAUUUCCAAAAUCAAAACAAUUUAGAGCUGAGAAAGGCUGUAAUUUACCUUCCCAAUCCAGUAGCUAAAGGCUUCCAAGAGAGUACAGCUGACAAGAAAAACAUAUAGUGGAACAAAUUAUCUCCUAAGUGAUGUAAAGGGACUGGAAUCUGGCCACAAAUGCUAGAUUUAGAAUUCUUACAAUAUACAGGAAAGUGUAACAUUUGGUGAGACAUGUUUGGUAAACUAGAGGCACAGGACUCAUUUCACAUCCCCAAAAUGUAGAUGAUUUUCAGAGGAUGUAUGAGUCAAAGCAGACAAAGACAGAGGGUCUGAGGUCUGCAAUUCCAAUUUGGCAUGUCCGUAUAAUUUAUUUAAGACCAUACACAAUUUAGGAAAGCCACAGAUAACUACACUGAACCAUUGGGCCGCCCUUGCGUUUUAAGGUAUUCCUCUUAUCUGUUGAAAUCUGUUUUAAGUCCAAUCACUUGUGUUUGAGUAAAAUGUUCCUUGUAGAAUGACAUUCUCUCGACCAAGAUGAGAAGCAAUCAUUUCACUUAGUAAUUUUUUUUCUUUGAGGCUAAAUGUCUUUUUACUUAAUGCUUUACUUCUGGGGUGAACUUGUCUGACUUCAUUUCCAGUCUUUGGUUCUUCCGGCCUUUCUUGGCUAGAUUAGAAACAUAUAUUCAAUACUUCAUCCUUAGAGGCACUUUUACAUUGCAAUCAGGUCACCUCUGUUUUUGAAAAUGUUAACAGAUUGACCUCCAUAGCUUUCACAGUGAGGAAUGUUCUCCUCAAAGAAAUAGUAAUACUUGUGAGCUUUUUCCUCUUCUCCAAAAAUAUUUCACUUUUCUUUUCUUAUACCCACACCAAAACACAACUAAGAUGCUUCCCCUGCAGGCAAAGAAGUUCAGAUAAAAGCAGCCACAAAUUUCAGCACGGGUUCAGUUUGUGGCAGGGCACCAUCUCCCAGUCCAAGUAAAGCAACUGUCACAUGGUGCCAGUCCCUCAGCUUCGAUUUUCAAUCACGGAUUUGUAAAGCAGAGCCAAAAUGAUGAUGGCUGUUGUGGAGCAGUGAUUAGUGCAGAUCAAAUGAGCAGAGUUACCACCACGCCACUCUCCUAUCCACUCACUUCUCAUACAGGUCUCUGCAUUUCCAGCAUAAAGUCAUCAUUUCCAUCUUGCAUCGAUACAUUAAAAACUGGACAAAGGAAAAUUCAAAGAAUAGAUUGUGGGUUUUUUUUCCUUCUAAAUUUACAAGGCAAGUGGUAAGGGUCGAGAAGAGCUGUUUGUUUUUAUGGGAUGUGUGCAAACAUUAUUGAGUGCCUUUAUUUUACUAAACCUGUCACACCAGAUUUCAGUCUUCCUUCAAAAUCAUAAAUAAAAAAGAACUCUUUGUUUGCCAUUUUUCCCCUUUGAUGGAUAUGAAUCACCACCAGACAACACAGUUAAGUUCCCAAUCUCCAGCUCUGAGCAACAUCGGCUGGAGGUACAAAACAUCCCCAAUCAAUAGCUUAUGGCACCAGGUUUCCCAGCCUGCUGGGCGGUAUCCCAGCCUUCCCAGCUGCAUGCUGCUCACCACACUGCCUGCUGCUGCUGCUAAAUCAUCCAGCAGUGCCUGAGGGAACUGAACAGUUCAGCAAUAAAUGCUGGUCACUCGUUGAUCCGGGCUAUAUCUCUGAGAACAGAAGACACCUGGUUCUGGCUACCGUCGCUCUACAUUGUAUUUCAGAGAGAGGACUAUGCAAGGAUACGUGCCUUUUCUUCUAUACACCACCUGUUGCCUGUCAGCGCUGCCUUUAACAUACAGAGCGUUUAUUUGUAUUACUUCACCCCUCUGGCAUGUGCCUUCUUCAUGAGCACUUUAUAUCAUCACCAGCAAUUGCAUGUUUGCAAUGGCAGCGUGAGGAACGUCGGUCACCAGCAGCAUACUCCUUUUUCCUACCUCAAGGCAUGGAAAGGUGGUGGGUGGUUUAAAGAGCCAGGGAAGGAAAUAAUGCUAUGAGCAGUGCUUGAUCUAAGUUCCUGUCCUGAAGGCUUGUUCUAUUAUUCACAGAGCAAUAGCAAAUAAAUCAGGAAAACUAAACAAUAACCUCCCACCUCAGUCAGACAAAUUUGUCUUCCCUUUUAGUAUAGUUAGCAUAUCCUAAUUUAUGACUGAGGGGGACAGUUUUGGAUUGAAUCACCGCACACAUCAGUACAGGUUAGGGGCUAACCUGCUGGAAGAGAGUUCUGCAGAGAAGGACCUGGGUGUUCUGAUGGAAAACAGGUUGGCCAAGAGCCAGCAGUGUGCCCUGAUAGCCACAGUGGCCAAUUGUACCCUGAGGUGUAUUAAAAAGAGUAUGGCCAGCAGGUUGAGGGAGGUGAUCCUCUACUCUGUCCUGGUGAAGCCACAGCUGGAGUGUCCAGUUCUGGACUCCCCAGUUUAAGAAAAACAGGGAACUGCUGAAGAGAGUUCAGCAGAUGACUGGGACCUGGAGCAUCUCCUUUAUCAGGAAAGGCUUCAAGCCCUGGGGCUGUUCAGCCCGGAGAAGAGAAAGCUGAGAGGGAUCUUAUCAAUGUUUAUCAGUAUCUAAAGGACAGGUGUCAAGUGGAUGGGAUCAGGCUCCUUCUGUGGUGUGCAGUGACAGAGCAGGGGCAAUGGGCACAAACUGAAACAUAGCAACAAGAGGAAAAGCUUUUCUUCAUGAGAGUGACAGAGUACAGCUGCCCAGAGAUUGUGGAGUUUCCUCCUCUGGAGCUACAACACACCUGGGCACUUUCCUGUGCAAUCUACCAUAGGGAACUGCUUUAGCAGGGGGUUGGACUCGAUCUCAAGAGUUCCCUUCCAAACUCAGCAGUUCUGUGAUUCUGUAAUAUCCUUAAAGAAUAAGAGAACCAAAAUGAAGAGAGCUCACAGUGAACUCAGCACAGUGAGGGAAAAGGACCAAAGAGAGAACAGACAGAAAGACAGCUUAAUGCAGAACCAGGACCUGCACAAGACGGCACAAAGUUGCAGCACAUGGGCCGCAGAGUACAGCUGCCCUAGGAGCCAGGACAGCACUUGCCCUUGCAGAGAGCCCUUGUUGCUGUGCACACACCUGCAUGCACUUACACUCAACUUAUGGGUGUGGAGUGGCCCAGAGCAGCAGCUGACCUGCCCGGGCAAGGCUGAGGCCCUCCCAGCCCCUCUGCCAGCACUUGCCCAGCACAGCCCCUCAGCAGGGCACCCAGCAGGCAGUGCCCACACAGGCCUCGGCACAUCCCAGCACACUGCCCAGCUCUGAGUCAUGGCUGGCUGCGCCCUGCGGGCCCCUACUGCAGGCACCCUGGAGCUCCCUGGCUCCCGGGGCCGUGUCUGCCUUAGGGGCAGCUUUGCAGAGCGAUGCUCAGCUGCAGCGAGGCCGUGUACCUUUGUUGGGUGCCCAGCGACAUCACAGAGAUGAUGCGCAGCCCGGGGGAAUCGGUCAAGGGGUGACAGCAGGACCAGGAGGUCUUGUAUCCUUCUGCAUCAUAGCACAGCUCAGCACAGUCCUCUUGUGACAGGAAUGGCUGUGAACAGCAAGAGAACAAGACUUGUCAGUGCUCAACUAGAAGAGCUGCCAAAUACAUCAUCAUCUCUCAUUCACUAUGACCCAGGUGCUGUCAGCCCAAACUGACUGUUUUCAGUAAAAUGAAAAAAUCACGUUGGAUGCCUGACCUGGUGACUGAGCUUGCUGAGGGAAUGCCAUGCGAGUCCCUGGAGCUGGAGCCCAAUCGCUGCCAGGGUGCGACAUCGCCUGCAGCAGCUGCUGCUGCCCUGAGCCAGAGCAGCCCUGGGAAGCAGAUGAGCUGCAGCCAGCAGGAAGGGAGCCAAAAGGAGAAACCCGUACACACCAAAAUUAAAGUACACGACUGCUGCCAUGGAAUAGAAAAAGCAAUAUCUUACAGAGAAACGGCAAAGAUGAACAACCACCAAAGGAAGGAGCAGAGUGUUGUGAGGACACUCAGUUUGGUCUCAACCCACAUCUCAAUUCAGACGAAAGAUUAAUUCUAAUUGUCAGCAAGGUCCUAAGCAGCAGUACAAUUUUAAUAGACUAAGCAUCCCUAAUUUUCCACUUCCUUGAAUAAACUAUUUUGUGGUACGU
Meleagris gallopavo (turkey) is the source of this 4163-nucleotide non-coding RNA. NCBI's taxonomy places the organism in Eukaryota, Metazoa, Chordata, Aves, Galliformes, Phasianidae. The record is from RefSeq and is a predicted model, not a curated record.